CUGAGGUACGAAAGUGUGGGGAGCAAACAGGAUUAGAUACCCUGGUAGUCCACGCCCUAAACGAUGUCUACUAGUUGUCGGGUUUUAAUUAACUUGGUAACGCAGCUAACGCGUGAAGUAGACCGCCUGGGGAGUACGGUCGCAAGGCUAAAACUCAAAGGAAUUGACGGGGCCCCGCACAAGCGGCGGAGCAUGCGGAUUAAUUCGA
Molecule: ribosomal RNA, 208 nt
Filed under: Prymnesium parvum
Lineage: Eukaryota; Haptophyta; Prymnesiales; Prymnesiaceae
Description: partial Bacterial small subunit ribosomal RNA
Rfam family: Bacterial small subunit ribosomal RNA
Source: RNAcentral